Molecule: ribosomal RNA, 253 nt
Filed under: uncultured bacterium
Lineage: Bacteria
Description: partial 16S ribosomal RNA
Rfam family: Bacterial small subunit ribosomal RNA
Source: RNAcentral
UACGUAGGGUGCAAGCGUUGUUCGGAAUCAUUGGGCGUAAAGCGCGUGUAGGCGGUUAGGUAAGUCUUGUGUGAAAUCCCUGGGCUCAACCGAGGAAGUGCAUGGGAAACUCCCUAGCUGGAAGAUGGUAGAGGAAGGUGGAAUUCCUAGUGUAGAGGUGAAAUUCGUAGAUAUUAGGAGGAAUACCUGUGGCGAAGGCGGCCUUCUGGACCAUUCUUGACGCUGAGACGCGAAAGCGUGGGUAGCAAACAGG